AAACAGAUGCUAAUACCGCAUAACAACUUGGACCGCAUGGUCCGAGUUUGAAAGAUGGCUUCGGCUAUCACUUUUGGAUGGUCCCGCGGCGUAUUAGCUAGAUGGUGAGGUAACGGCUCACCAUGGCAAUGAUACGUAGCCGACCUGAGAGGGUAAUCGGCCACAUUGGGACUGAGACACGGCCCAAACUCCUACGGGAGGCAGCAGUAGGGAAUCUUCCACAAUGGACGAAAGUCUGAUGGAGCAACGCCGCGUGAGUGAAGAAGGGUUUCGGCUCGUAAAACUCUGUUGUUAAAGAAGAACAUAUCUGAGAGUAACUGUUCAGGUAUUGACGGUAUUUAACCAGAAAGCCACGGCUAACUACGUGCCAGCAGCCGCGGUAAUACGUAGGUGGCAAGCGUUGUCCGGAUUUAUUGGGCGUAAAGCGAGCGCAGGCGGUUUUUUAAGUCUGAUGUGAAAGCCUUCGGCUCAACCGAAGAAGUGCAUCGGAAACUGGGAAACUUGAGUGCAGAAGAGGACAGUGGAACUCCAUGUGUAGCGGUGAAAUGCGUAGAUAUAUGGAAGAACACCAGUGGCGAAGGCGGCUGUCUGGUCUGUAACUGACGCUGAGGCUCGAAAGUAUGGGUAGCAAACAGGAUUAGAUACCCUGGUAGUCCAUACCGUAAACGAUGAAUGCUAAGUGUUGGAGGGUUUCCGCCCUUCAGUGCUGCAGCUAACGCAUUAAGCAUUCCGCCUGGGGAGUACGGCCGCAAGGCUGAAACUCAAAGGAAUUGACGGGGGCCCGCACAAGCGGUGGAGCAUGUGGUUUAAUUCGAAGCUACGCGAAGAACCUUACCAGGUCUUGACAUACUAUGCAAAUCUAAGAGAUUAGACGUUCCCUUCGGGGACAUGGAUACAGGUGGUGCAUGGUUGUCGUCAGCUCGUGUCGUGAGAUGUUGGGUUAAGUCCCGCAACGAGCGCAACCCUUAUUAUCAGUUGCCAGCAUUAAGUUGGGCACUCUGGUGAGACUGCCGGUGACAAACCGGAGGAAGGUGGGGAUGACGUCAAAUCAUCAUGCCCCUUAUGACCUGGGCUACACACGUGCUACAAUGGAUGGUACAACGAGUUGCGAACUCGCGAGAGUAAGCUAAUCUCUUAAAGCCAUUCUCAGUUCGGAUUGUAGGCUGCAACUCGCCUACAUGAAGUCGGAAUCGCUAGUAAUCGCGGAUCAGCAUGCCGCGGUGAAUACGUUCCCGGGCCUUGUACACACCGCCCGUCACACCAUGAGAGUUUGUAACACCCAAAGUCGGUGGGGUAACCUUUUAGGAACCAGCCGCCUAAGGUGGGACAGAUGAUUAGGGUG
Molecule: ribosomal RNA, 1342 nt
Filed under: Lactiplantibacillus argentoratensis
Lineage: Bacteria; Bacillati; Bacillota; Bacilli; Lactobacillales; Lactobacillaceae
Description: bacterial SSU rRNA
Rfam family: Bacterial small subunit ribosomal RNA
Source: RNAcentral